UAGAUCUGUUGUCAUGAUCACGAUCUUAAAUUAAUGUAUGGACUGAAUUUGGUAUAAGUGGCAAACUGGCAAGUUGAAUUGUCCCAAUUCUAGUAUUGAACACUUUAGUGAUGAGAAUAGACGAUUUUUUGCUUUCGCUGACAGUCCACAUUUAGAAAUAGAUAAUAUACCUAAUAAUAAAGUCUUAAAAAUUGAUCCAAAUGAAAAUUUUGUCAAAUGGGAACAUUUUGAAAUUCUCCAUGAGCAAGACAAAAUCAAUUGUGUCAGCCAGUUAAAAGUUUGCCCGAAAAUCACUGAAAAUCAUAUUAAAUUACUAAAUACUUGCCUGAAAAUGCGAGUUUGAUUAGCUACACAAAUUCUUAGUAAGUCAGUUGCUGAUGGGUUAUUAUUUAAUAAAAAGCACCAAAUACAAGGUCUUCAAAACUGUGAUUUAACAAUUAAGUUUUGUUUAGUUUUUAAUGAUAUGUUUGAUGCACUAAAUGCAAAAUUCCUAGUCAAGGUAUUAAUUCAAAUUCAAAAAACUAUGAGGUACUCCAGCGUUCUUUAGACUGGUUAAACAUAUGGGAAAAUAAUUUGAUAUCUGGAAAAAUAAGCGCUGAUGAAUUCUUAACUACAAGUACAGCUGAAGGGUUGCGAGUUACCUUAAUAUCAUGUAAACAACUGGCUGGUUAUAUGAUUGAAAAAUAUGAAAUCCACUAUCUUCUUUCAAGAAAAAUAAAUCAAGAUUCUCUCGAACAGUUUUUUGGUACAGUUCGUAUGUAUUCUGGUGCAAAUGACCACCCUUCAUCGGCAACUUUCUUACAAGUAUAUAAAUUAUUAUCAGCAUACUCUAUAUUAAAACCUCCAAAAUAUGGGAACUGUACUGUAGAAGCAGACACUAUUAAUGAAAAUUUUGUCAUGUUUCAUAGUUCAUUAUUACUUAUUAGAUAUAAUUGGAGAAAUAAAUAUUUUUUUUAUACAUAGAA
Long non-coding RNA from Aphis gossypii (cotton aphid), 965 nucleotides. RefSeq lists it as uncharacterized. NCBI's taxonomy places the organism in Eukaryota, Metazoa, Arthropoda, Insecta, Hemiptera, Aphididae. The transcript has 5 exons. The record is from RefSeq and is a predicted model, not a curated record.